GAAAGCUUAUGAUGAAGAUGCCAAAUAUAUUUUAUUUAUUAACAAAUCAAUUACAAUACUUGGUUGCUCAACCGUCAACAGCUUGACGAUUGGCUUUUUGAGACAUAUUUCCCAACAACUCUCACUUAUCCUAAAGCCACUCGGCACAGUAUCUAAUAUGCAUCUUCGACUUGUGGUUGUGAAACUCCUUUAUUGCCAGGGCUUUAGUGAAGGGGUCGGCCAGGUUCUCCUUUCCAUCGAUUUUCUGAAGGUCGACGUCAUCUCGAUUCACGAUCUCUCGGACC
Molecule: long non-coding RNA, 284 nt
Filed under: Elaeis guineensis (African oil palm)
Lineage: Eukaryota; Viridiplantae; Streptophyta; Magnoliopsida; Arecales; Arecaceae
Description: long non-coding RNA (EGUI_LNC039803)
Source: RNAcentral